GAUUAAGUAGAAAAGAGCACACGGAGAAUGCCUUGGCACUAGGAGCCGAAGAAGGACGUGACAAACGACGAAACGCUACGGGAAGACGUAAGUAAUCAAAGAUCCGUAGAUAUCCGAAUGGGGCAACCCGGCAGAAAUAAAAAGCUGUCACCCGA
Molecule: ribosomal RNA, 155 nt
Filed under: Gemella sp. zg-1178
Lineage: Bacteria; Bacillati; Bacillota; Bacilli; Caryophanales; Gemellaceae
Description: partial 23S ribosomal RNA
Rfam family: Bacterial large subunit ribosomal RNA
Source: RNAcentral